AGAGUUUGAUCCUGGCUCAGGAUGAACGCUGGCGGCGUGCCUAACACAUGCAAGUCGAACGGGAAGCCCGAUUUCGAUCGGGCGGAGAGUGGCGCACGGGUGAGUAACACGUAGCUUAUCUGCCCUGGAGCGGGGGAUAACCCACGGAAACGCGGGCUAAUACCCCAUAAGCUCACGCUGAACAGGUAGGUGUGAGAAAAGUUAAGGCGCUCUGGGAUGAGGUUGCGGCCCAUCAGCUGGUUGGUAGGGUAAUGGCCUACCAAGGCGACGACGGGUAGGGGGCCUGAGAGGGUGACCCCCCACACUGGGACUGAGACACGGCCCAGACUCCUACGGGAGGCAGCAGUGAGGAAUAUUGCGCAAUGGACGCAAGUCUGACGCAGCGACGCCGCGUGGGUGAAGAAGGCCUUCGGGUCGUAAAGCCCUUUUCCAGGUGACGAGCAAGGACGGUAGCCUGGGAAUAAGUGUCGGCUAACUACGUGCCAGCAGCCGCGGUAAAACGUAGGACGCAAGCGUUAUCCGGAAUUACUGGGCGUAAAGCGCGCGCAGGCGGGGUGGUGAGUCCGCCGUGAAAGCUCCCGGCUAAACUGGGAGAGGUCGGUGGAUACUGCCGCUCUGGAGGGUGUCAGAGGCGAGUGGAAUUCCGCGUGUAGUGGUGAAAUGCGUAGAGAUGCGGAGGAACACCCGUGGCGAAGGCGGCUCGCUAGGACAACCCUGACGCUGAGGCGCGAAAGCAUGGGGAGCGAACGGGAUUAGAAACCCCGGUAGUCCAUGCCGUAAACGAUGUGCACUAAACGUUCGUGCGUCCAUGUGGCGCGUGAGUGUUGCAGCUAACGCGAUAAGUGCACCGCCUGGGGAGUACGGUCGCAAGGCUAAAACUCAAAGGAAUUGACGG
RNAcentral lists this ribosomal RNA (895 nucleotides) under uncultured Chloroflexota bacterium. RNAcentral describes it as "bacterial SSU rRNA". It matches the Rfam family "Bacterial small subunit ribosomal RNA", at positions 8 to 916 of the family's 1533-position model. The record is from RNAcentral. Lineage: Bacteria; Bacillati; Chloroflexota.